RNAcentral lists this ribosomal RNA (443 nucleotides) under uncultured bacterium. RNAcentral's name for it is "bacterial SSU rRNA". It matches the Rfam family "Bacterial small subunit ribosomal RNA", at positions 338 to 795 of the family's 1533-position model. The record is from RNAcentral.
CCUACGGGGGGCUGCAGUCGAGAAUAUUGGACAAUGGGCGAAAGCCUGAUCCAGCGACAUUGCGUGGAGGAUGAAGACGUUCGCGCCGUAAACUCCUUUUAUAGGGAAAGAAGUAAUUGACGGUACCCUAUGAAUAAGCGGGGGCUAAUUCUGUGCCAGCAGCAGCGGUAAUACAGAACCCGCAAGCGUUAUCCGGAUUUAUUGGGCGUAAAGUGUUCGUAGGCGGUUCGGAAAGUCUGAUAUCAAAUAUCCGGGCUCAACCCGGGGCGAGUAUUGGAAACUUCCGAACUUGAAGGUGCUAGGGGCUAUCGGAACGCACGGUGUAGGGGUGAAAUCCGUUGAUAUCGUGCGGAACACCAAAAGCGAAGGCAGAUAGCUGGGGCAUUCUUGACGCUGAGGAACGAAAGCGUGGGGAGCAAACAGGAUUAGAUACCCUAGUAGUC